GGCCCUAAGCAGCUCCAUUACUCCCUGACAAGCCGUAUUAACGGCCAUGAUUCUGCUCCACUCCCUGCGGCGGAUCCUAUGCGAUUCCACCACCCCCAGAUGAGUCACGACAGCAGACGCCGCUCCACUCCCCGUAACUGAUCCCACGUGGCGAGCCACGGUGAUAGCCACGACCCCACUCCACUACUCUCCGCAAUAAAUUCCUCCUGACUCUGGGCGGCCCACUACCAGACGGUUACAGGCGUCGCUAUCAAUCUGUUGCCCUCUCUGUCUAUAAAAGGGAAACCCCAGAUACAUUAUUCAAUAAGCUCUCAUCUUUCAUCUAAAAACUCUGCUAAAUUCUUCGUUCGAGCACUCCAUUCUUGUUGAGGCAGAGAACUGACUUGAGCGUCGGAGGGUCUUGCCGGAGCAACCCCACCUCCGGUUUAG
Molecule: long non-coding RNA, 429 nt
Filed under: Elaeis guineensis (African oil palm)
Lineage: Eukaryota; Viridiplantae; Streptophyta; Magnoliopsida; Arecales; Arecaceae
Description: long non-coding RNA (EGUI_LNC069063)
Source: RNAcentral